GAAGUGCGAUAAGCAGUGCGAAUUGCAGAAUUCCGCGAAUCAUCAGAUUUUUGAACGCAAGUUGCGCCGAGCAGUUCGCUGUUCGGCAUGCUUGUUUCAGUGUCGUAAUAAUUAUAUAUCUUAAUGUGAUUGAUGAAAGUAAGAAAGUAGUACUCCUACUUCUUUAUUGACAUCUCUCAUGAAAUAAGAAUGUGUAUGUACUAUCACACAAUGAAGUAGUCACUAAUAUACACUCUGUGUAUAUUGUGUGAUCUCAUUGAUGUUGUUAGUUACUAAAUAUACAUAGAAAUUAUUUAUUAUUCUUAUCAAAUGGCAUCUGAAAUCAAGCAAGAUUUCCCGCUGCACUUAAGC
This 351-nucleotide unclassified non-coding RNA is filed under the name plant metagenome. RNAcentral's name for it is "partial contains 5.8S ribosomal RNA, internal transcribed spacer 2, and large subunit ribosomal RNA". The stretch from base 1 to 105 matches the Rfam family "5.8S ribosomal RNA", at positions 50 to 154 of the family's 154-position model. The record is from RNAcentral.